UUGUGGAGGAGGACGCCGAAGGUGGGGCUAAUGACUGGGGUGAAGUCGUAACAAGGUAGCCGUACCGGAAGGUGCGGCUGGAUCACCUCCUAACAGGGAGACAACAAAAUGUUUAAUUUUAUAAUUUUGUCACCUUAGGUCGAUCGGUAUCUCACGUUCUUGAUUUAUUGAGAAUUUCAUUUCCUAAGUUUUUCUAGGUCACACCCAUUAUUUUUCCUGGGCCAUUAGCUCAGGUGGUUAGAGCGCACCCCUGAUAAGGGUGAGGUCCCUGGUUCAAGUCCAGGAUGACCCAUAUCUCUAUGUUGGGGGUAUAGCUCAGUUGGUAGAGCGCCUGCUUUGCAAGCAGGAUGUCAGCGGUUCGAGUCCGCUUACCUCCACUGAUUACCACCUCUUCCAUAAUCUAUAGAAAGGAAAUGUUUUGAGUUGUGAUCAUAUUCUGAACGAAUCUAGCUUCCUAAUGAAACCAUUAAGAUGCUGGACUCAUUGAAUUAAUUUCAUUGUUUUCAGAGAACCUUGACAACUGCAUAGAUUAUUUUUAAAGACAAUAAGCAUCUUUGAUGAUGCAGAUUUAUUAUUUGUGCGAAUGCAUUAAUAACAAUUCUAUUAAGCUGAUGCUUCAAUUUUGAAGUUAUUGGUCAAGCUACAA
RNAcentral lists this unclassified non-coding RNA (646 nucleotides) under uncultured Prochlorococcus sp. Its description in RNAcentral is "partial 16S-23S ribosomal RNA intergenic spacer; may also contain 16S ribosomal RNA and 23S ribosomal RNA". The stretch from base 305 to 377 matches the Rfam family "tRNA". Lineage: Bacteria; Bacillati; Cyanobacteriota; Cyanophyceae; Synechococcales; Prochlorococcaceae. The record is from RNAcentral.